This 468-nucleotide ribosomal RNA is filed under the name uncultured bacterium. RNAcentral describes it as "partial 16S ribosomal RNA". It matches the Rfam family "Bacterial small subunit ribosomal RNA", at positions 28 to 507 of the family's 1533-position model. The record is from RNAcentral.
GAUGAACGCUGGCGGCGUGCUUAACACAUGCAAGUCGAACGGAAAGGCCGAAGCUUGCUUCGGUACUCGAGUGGCGAACGGGUGAGUAACACGUGGGUGAUCUGCCCUGUACUUCGGGAUAAGCUUGGGAAACUGGGUCUAAUACCGGAUAUGACGAUCUCUUGGAUGGGGUUGUGGAAAGCUUUUGCGGUAUGGGAUGAGCUCGCGGCCUAUCAGCUUGUUGGUCGGGUAAUGGCCUACCAAGGCGUCGACGGGUAGCCGGCCUGAGAGGGUGUACGGCCACAUUGGGACGGAGAUACGGCCCAGACUCCUACGGGAGGCAGCAGUGGGGAAUAUUGCACAAUGGGCGCAAGCCUGAUGCAGCGACGCCGCGUGGGGGAUGACGGCCUUCGGGUUGUAAACUCCUUUCGCAAUCGACGAAGCCUUUUGGUGACGGUAGGUUGAGAAGAAGCACCGGCUAACUACGUG